CCCUCCCUCUUUCUUCAUGCCUAACACAUGCAAGUCGAACGAGACCUUCGGGUCUAGUGGCGCACGGGUGCGUAACGCGUGGGAACCUGCCCUUAGGUUCGGAAUAACUCCCCGACAGGGGUGCUAAUACCGGAUAAUGUCUUCGGACCAAAGAUUUAUCGCCUUUGGAUGGGCCCGCGUUGGAUUAGCUAGUUGGUAGGGUAAAAGCCUACCAAGGCGACGAUCCAUAGCUGGUCUGAGAGGAUGAUCAGCCACACUGGGACUGAGACACGGCCCAGACUCCUACGGGAGGCAGCAGUGGGGAAUAUUGGACCAUGGGCGAAAGACUGAUCCAGCAAUGCCGCGUGAGUGAUGAAGGCCUUAGGGUUGUAAAGCUCUUUUACCCGGGAUGAUAAUGACAGUACCGGGAGAAUAAGCGCCGGCUAACUCCGUG
RNAcentral lists this ribosomal RNA (433 nucleotides) under uncultured bacterium. RNAcentral's name for it is "partial 16S ribosomal RNA". It matches the Rfam family "Bacterial small subunit ribosomal RNA", at positions 36 to 507 of the family's 1533-position model. The record is from RNAcentral.